UUCCGGUUGAUCCUGCCGGACCUGACUGCUAUCGGAUUGAUACUAAGCCAUGCGAGUCAUUGUAGCAAUACAAGGCAGACGGCUCAGUAACGCGUAGUCAACCUACCCUAUGGACGGGAAUAACCUCGGGAAACUGAGUAUAAUGCCCGAUAGAACAUUAUACCUGGAAUGGUUUAUGUUCCAAAUGAUUUAUCGCCGUAGGAUGGGACUGCGGCCUAUCAGUUUGUUGGUGAGGUAAUGGCCCACCAAGACUAUUACAGGUACGGGCUCUGANAGGAGUGGCCCGGANAUGGGUACUGAGACACGGACCCAGGCCCUAUGGGGCGCAGCAGGCGAGAAAACUUUGCAAUGUGCGAAAGCACGACAAGGUUAAUCCGAGUGGUUUCUGCUAAAGGAACCUUUUGUUAGUCCUAAAAACACUAACGAAUAAGGGGUGGGCAAGUUCUGGUGUCAGCCGCCGCGGUAAAACCAGCACCUCAAGUGGUCAGGAUGAUUAUUGGGCCUAAAGCAUCCGUAGCCGGCUCUGUAAGUUUUCGGUCAAAUCUGUACGCUUAACGUACAGGCUGCCGGGAAUACUGCAGAGCUAGGGAGUGGGAGAGGUAGACGGUACUCGGGAGGAAGUGGUAAAAUGCUUUGAUCUCUCGAUGACCACCUGUGGCGAAGGCGGUCUACCAGAACACGUCCGACGGUGAGGGAUGAAAGCUGGGGGAGCAAACCGGAUUAGAUACCCGGGUAGUCCCAGCUGUAAACUAUGCAAACUCAGUGAUGCAUUGGCUUGUGGCCAAUGCGGUGUUGCAGGGAAGCCGUUAAGUUUGCCGCCUGGGAAGUACGUACGCAAGUAUGAAACUUAAAGGAAUUGGCGGGGGAGCACCACAAGGGGUGAAGCCUGCGGUUCAAUUGGAGUCAACGCCGGGA
This 915-nucleotide ribosomal RNA is filed under the name uncultured crenarchaeote. Its description in RNAcentral is "bacterial SSU rRNA". It matches the Rfam family "Archaeal small subunit ribosomal RNA", at positions 1 to 923 of the family's 1478-position model. Lineage: Archaea; Thermoproteati; Thermoproteota. The record is from RNAcentral.